GCACCAGGCGCCACCAUGCGGCGGGUACCGGGAACUGCACGGAGGCCUGCGGCUAUAAAGCAGCGUCCUUCCCUCAAAGUUUGCGGAGUUUUAUUGCCGGUGUGCGGGAAAACGCGGACAGCUGAGCGCCGUCGCGCCGCCGGCCGGCUACCUGCGGACUCACCCAGGAAGGUUUUGGCGCAGUCCGGGAGCCCGAUGUGCCGCAUCCAUCCCGCAACUUCCUCAGCAGUCCACAGCUCCACGGAGAUCAUGGCUGCUGUUUCCUCAGAUCAUCUCAGCCUGCAUCCACAGCAGAAAACAGCGGAACACUCUGAGCACAGCAGGCCGGAGUGGCAGCACGCUUUUUCAGGGUGCAAAAGUGCGCAAACUGCCGCUGCCGCUCUCAGUUUUUAAUUAGUCUGAGCGGAUGGCGGCAGGCGGUCACAUGUUGUGUUUUAUUGUGUGAGUUUGACUGAAGAAAAGUCACAAUCCGUGAGAGAGUGAGACACAAAGCAUCCUACAGCCCGCCCAGACAAAGCAAGUCUCUCUGGAAAAGUCCAGCUUUUGGUCUUUGUAACACCUUGUGUUUUAUUUUGGGGAGCAGCGCGUCCUCCAGGAGGAGAAAACACAGCCUUCAACACGUGUUAACACGCUGCUGCUGCCGCGGCUCCACUCGGGAAAGUUUGUCUGUAACUCCGACGCUACAACACACACACACCUGUCUAACACUCACCUCCUCUUGUUGAGUGAUGAAGCCCCACUUCGCCACGCGUAAACACUCAGAGAGGUGAGCGCGACAUACUGCACCUCUGCAGGUGAGGGCGGAGCGCGGCCCGUGCUGCCUUCAAGAGCAGCUCAGAAAUGCAGCAGAUGAACAGCAACAGACUGAGGGAUUAUGGGUAGUGGAGUUCAUAGCUCCGCAGCAACACUGACUUUCACGUCACUACAACUUCCAGUUUCACAGCAAAUGCAGCAUUUUGUUGUUUUACUCCCAUAACUGAAUGUAUCGGUUCCUCUGAAGAAUCAGACUCAUCCUGAAAAUGAUUCACCCCAAACACCACACCAUGUGACAGGACAGUGGACCUACAGCCAGCCUACAGUCAGUGAAGUUAUUUAUCAAGACUG
Myripristis murdjan (pinecone soldierfish) is the source of this 1104-nucleotide long non-coding RNA. RefSeq lists it as uncharacterized. The record is from RefSeq and is a predicted model, not a curated record. The transcript has 2 exons. NCBI's taxonomy places the organism in Eukaryota, Metazoa, Chordata, Actinopteri, Holocentriformes, Holocentridae.